GCCACUCAGCCUCUAUACAUUGGUGGCUCAAGCCGCUAAUAUGAAGCUGGCUCUACUUGAAUAUGCAGCGGAGACUAAUAGUUUCUAAACAAAUUCAUCUAGCCGCAUAACCAGUGAUGCAAAACUGUUGCUAGACACAAUCUUCUCAAAAUGAGCAUAGUUUACAUUUUUUGUCCGUAACAGUAUGAAAUUUCAUGUUUGACAGAGGCAAAAAGGCUAACGCGGGCUGGAUGAUGACGAGCCACAGCCAGUCGGCUCAGUUGGCAGUUGGCGCUAAAGCCCAUGUAAUGCAAUGUCCUCCAUGGGCCACACCUGCCAUGGUGAAGGCUGUUAUGAUAUAGAAGUGUUAAAAUAAGCAAAUUGCUAAUACAAGAGGACAGAAAUGUGCUAAAAACUGAAUUAACUGGACAGAUAAAUUGUGUAUUUAUUUAUUUAUUUGUUCAUUAUUAUAUUUAAUUAUUUAUUUACUUUGUUAAUGAUUGGGUAUUGAUUUACCAGUUAAUUUGUUCAUUUGUUCAUUUAUUUGGUCAUUUAUUCAUUUAUCAAGUAAAGUUUUAUGUACAUGGAACUUUCUAAAUAUCAUAUCAAUAUAUAAUUUCAUGGUUUGACUAUUUUGAAAUUUGUUGGUGAAUAGUCAAUGGUUUCUAUUGUAAAUCUUUAUAUGUGUUUACACAGAAAAUAUCAAUUUGCUCCAGUGAGACAUGAAAUUUCACUUGCAGAUUUGAAAUAUUUGAAGCUUAACACGAUUGCCUAUUAAUUAUUACACUUGUGAACAUUAGCAUGUUCCCAAUUCAAAUGUGGAAUUCAAAUAAAUUUAUAUGUAGAGGUUCACAUAAAA
Long non-coding RNA from Xenia sp. Carnegie-2017, 838 nucleotides. RefSeq lists it as uncharacterized. The record is from RefSeq and is a predicted model, not a curated record. The transcript has 2 exons. Lineage: Eukaryota; Metazoa; Cnidaria; Anthozoa; Malacalcyonacea; Xeniidae.